Myodes glareolus (Bank vole) is the source of this 477-nucleotide non-coding RNA. Lineage: Eukaryota; Metazoa; Chordata; Mammalia; Rodentia; Cricetidae. The record is from RefSeq and is a predicted model, not a curated record.
UUUUAUACAAGCUUAUGGUAAAAUAUUCACUUGGAGUACCAGAAGAUGUUUUAGACUUUGGUCUUUUAAACAUUGCUGGGACUGUUAACUGUGGCAGAUUUACAAAGUCUCAAUGAAUGCACUUCAGACACUAUGGCAUCAAAGAGUAAACUAUUUUCUAGGCAAUUACUUGGUAGAGUUCUGAGUUACUGGGAAAAAGAUUCACAUACAAUAGAAAAAAAUGGCUGUUUAUUUGACAGAAUCUAAGACACCUUAGUAGUCAAGCUUUCAACCACUUUGUGGAUUAAGAAGAUAAUUGAGUGCAGAACUGUGGUGGUACACGCCUUUAAUUCCAGCACCCAGAGGCAGAGGGAGUGUUUCUGUGAAUGAACUGUUCAACCUGAGGUAUUUUCAUGACAGUGAGACUCAUCUGCUUUUGGCAACAACAAUCUACUUCAAAGAGAAAGAUGGGAAUUGAAGAUGCUCCUUAUGGAGUUG